UUAAUCUUGUUUUUUUUCCCCCCUCCUCAGGAACAAUCAGAACAUGUCAGAAGUUUCUCAUCCGAUAUAACAGCCGGCAGCUCCACCGCAUGCUUCCUAAAUGUAAAAUGAUGAAGAGAGACUGCAUGUUCGUCAGUCAAUCCUGUCCUGCUCCCUGCUGGGAGGAAAAGAGCGACCACUGGAAGAGGAAGAGGACA
Thalassophryne amazonica is the source of this 197-nucleotide long non-coding RNA. RefSeq lists it as uncharacterized. NCBI's taxonomy places the organism in Eukaryota, Metazoa, Chordata, Actinopteri, Batrachoidiformes, Batrachoididae. The record is from RefSeq and is a predicted model, not a curated record. The transcript is spliced from 2 exons.